Molecule: ribosomal RNA, 610 nt
Filed under: Romeria sp. BPE57
Lineage: Bacteria; Bacillati; Cyanobacteriota; Cyanophyceae; Nodosilineales; Romeriaceae
Description: bacterial SSU rRNA
Rfam family: Bacterial small subunit ribosomal RNA
Source: RNAcentral
UCGGGAACUGAUGCUAAUACCGAAUGUGCCGAGAGGUGAAAGAUUUAUUGUCUGAAGAUGAGCUCGCGUCUGAUUAGCUAGUUGGGGCGGUAACGGCGCACCAAGGCGACGAUCAGUAACUGGUCUGAGAGGAUGACCAGUCACACUGGGACUGAGACACGGCCCAGACUCCUACGGGAGGCAGCAGUGGGGAAUUUUCCGCAAUGGGCGAAAGCCUGACGGAGCAAUACCGCGUGCGGGAGGACGCUUUUUGGAGUGUAAACCGCUUUUCUCAAGGAAGAUGAUGACGGUACUUGAGGAAUCAGCAUCGGCUAACUUCGUGCCAGCAGCCGCGGUAAUACGAGGGAUGCAAGCGUUAUCCGGAAUUAUUGGGCGUAAAGCGUUCGUAGGUGGCUAGGUAAGUCUGUUGUUAAAGCGUGGAGCUUAACUCCAUAUCGGCGAUGGAAACUGCUUGGCUAGAGUAUGGUAGGGGUAACAGGAAUUCCCAGUGUAGCGGUGAAAUGCGUAGAUAUUGGGAAGAACACCAGCGGCGAAAGCGUGUUACUGGGCCAUUACUGACACUGAGGGACGAAAGCUAGGGGAGCGAAAGGGAUUAGAUACCCCUGUAGUC